AUUUUGGAAUUCCUAAUCCUAGUAGUAGAUUACUUAUUGGUCUAUAAAUACCUAGAGCUAACAAUUUUUGACACGAAACGACUCAACAUGCAAUUAAACGGGUUUGGGUGUAGGCCUUUAGCAUAAAUAGGUUCAGAUAGGUCAACUUGUUCAUAACACGCCAUAAAUAUGGGUUUAGUUGGGUGACUCACUUCACCGAUAAGACACGAAAUGACCCGUUUAUUUAGUUAAGUUAAUAGGUUAACUUUGACCCAUUUAAUCCUGUUAUGACCCAUGUUAUUUACAUAUUAAAACUAUGUAAUUUCAUUUAUAGAGCACAAAUAUUAAGAGCUAAACCUAACCUAAACCAGCUCAUAUUUAAUGUUCCAACUUCAUCAACAAUCUUAUGAAAUACAAUGAUGUUGUGAAACUCAUAUUCACAACUUGAACAUUUAGUGUCUGUGUAAUUUUAACUUUCUUUGUUAUUUGGAUGAUGUUUCGAUAUUUGGCUGUUGUUUGAAUAUUUAGUUGACCUUUGGAUAAUUGAAUAUUUAGAUGUUUGGAUAUUUAGAUAAUUUUGAAUAUUUGGGUUCUAUUUAUAUAUUUUGAUGAUGUUGCUUAAUAUGCAUCUUGGCAUGUAACAAGUUAAAUGUGCUCCAUGAGUUAAACGUGUCAUGCCACGUGAGAUUUAUAAUGACCCAUUUAUUAAAUGGGUUAAACAUGUUGUGUUGUUUCAUAUGACACGUUAAUAACCCAUUUAUUUAAAUGGGUUAUAUAGGUAGUGUUGUGUAACAGGUUUCAUAAACAUAUCCAGUGUUAUCAAGGCGAUAGGAUACCCUAUGGCUUUAGGCGAGAGGCGAGAGGUGAUGAGCGAUAGAGUAACCUAUGACCUCAAGCGAGAGGCGAUAUGAG
This 891-nucleotide unclassified non-coding RNA is filed under the name Hevea brasiliensis (rubber tree). Lineage: Eukaryota; Viridiplantae; Streptophyta; Magnoliopsida; Malpighiales; Euphorbiaceae. The record is from RNAcentral.